GACGAACGCUGGCGGCGUGCCUAAUACAUGCAAGUAGAACGCUGAAGAGAAGAGCUUGCUCUUCUUGGAUGAGUUGCGAACGGGUGAGUAACGCGUAGGUAACCUGCCUGGUAGCGGGGGAUAACUAUUGGAAACGAUAGCUAAUACCGCAUAAAAUUGAUUAUUGCAUGAUAAUUAAUUGAAAGAUGCAAUUGCAUCACUACCAGAUGGACCUGCGUUGUAUUAGCUAGUUGGUGAGGUAACGGCUCACCAAGGCGACGAUACAUAGCCGACCUGAGAGGGUGAUCGGCCACACUGGGACUGAGACACGGCCCAGACUCCUACGGGAGGCAGCAGUAGGGAAUCUUCGGCAAUGGGGGGAACCCUGACCGAGCAACGCCGCGUGAGUGAAGAAGGUUUUCGGAUCGUAAAGCUCUGUUUGUAAGAGAAGAAACGGGGUGUGAGAAG
Molecule: ribosomal RNA, 447 nt
Filed under: Streptococcus sanguinis
Lineage: Bacteria; Bacillati; Bacillota; Bacilli; Lactobacillales; Streptococcaceae
Description: bacterial SSU rRNA
Rfam family: Bacterial small subunit ribosomal RNA
Source: RNAcentral